CCUACGGGAGGCAGCAGUGGGGAAUUUUACGCAAUGGGGGAAACCCUGACGUAGCGACACCGCGUGAGCGAAGAAGCCCUCUGGGGUGUAAAGCUCUGUCAGCAGGGACGAAAAAAAUGACGGUACCUGCAGAGGAAGCAUCGGCUAACUACGUGCCAGCAGCCGCGGUAAGACGUAGGAUGCAAGCGUUGUCCGGAUUCAUUGGGCGUAAAGAGUUCGUAGGCGGUUUGUUAAGUCUGAUGUUAAAGAUCAGGGCCCAACCCUGAGAGUGCAUUGGAUACUGGCAGACUGGAGUGCAGUAGAGGCAAGUGGAAUUCCCAGUGUAGCGGUGAAAUGCGUAGGUAUUGGGAAGAACACCGGUGGCGCAGGCGACUUGCUGGGCUGUAACUGACGCUGAGGAACGAAAGCUAGGGGAGCAAAUGGGAUUAGAUACCCCAGUAGUCCUAGCUGUAAACGAUGGAUACUAGGCGUUGCAGGUAUCGACCCCUGCAGUGCCGCAGUUAACGCGAUAAGUAUCCCGCCUGAGUAGUACGGCCGCAAGGUUGAAACUCAAAGGAAUUGACGGAAGG
This 569-nucleotide ribosomal RNA is filed under the name uncultured bacterium. RNAcentral describes it as "bacterial SSU rRNA". It matches the Rfam family "Bacterial small subunit ribosomal RNA", at positions 338 to 920 of the family's 1533-position model. The record is from RNAcentral.